Molecule: long non-coding RNA, 486 nt
Filed under: Falco tinnunculus (common kestrel)
Lineage: Eukaryota; Metazoa; Chordata; Aves; Falconiformes; Falconidae
Description: lncRNA (ENSFTIG00000002050.1)
Source: RNAcentral
GUUUUCAGCAAAUCCACCCUCGCUCCCAGCUCUCGCAGGGCGCGAUAACACCGGAGCCCUCUGAAAGUUUGAGAAAGAGAAAGGGGGAGAAGUAGGGAGAAAGAAAAUAAAGAGCAACAGCUAAGGAAGAUAGAGAAGUUCCUGCAGGAGCUGGACACUGCAGAGGAGGAAAGGAGCGGUCAAAUCUCCGCGCAAAACCCUCCCUGGGCAAAGCCCGGAGCCCGGGCGGUACCUGCGGAGCCGAGCCCCGUUUCCCCCGCCCCGGCGCCGGGCUCAGGAGCUGCCAACCUCCCUGCUCCGGGGGCCGGAGAGGCCGCCGUUCAAGACAAUGCCUAUUUUCUGUCAUUAAUAACUCGUUUCUUUGGAAAAAAAAAAAAAUCUCGUUUGGAUCCAAGAUUGUUUUUUAUGAUUCAGUUGGACAAGACGGAACACAUGUUAGUUUAAGCAGGUUCAUGAAAUAGCUGUAAAUCAAAUAAAGUUUACGAG